RNAcentral lists this ribosomal RNA (442 nucleotides) under uncultured bacterium. RNAcentral's name for it is "partial 16S ribosomal RNA". It matches the Rfam family "Bacterial small subunit ribosomal RNA", at positions 338 to 795 of the family's 1533-position model. The record is from RNAcentral.
CCUACGGGGAGCAGCAGUGGGGAAUAUUGGGCAAUGGGCGCAAGCCUGACCCAGCAACGCCGCGUGAAGGAAGAAGGCUUUCGGGUUGUAAACUUCUUUUCUGGGGGACGAACAAAUGACGGUACCCCAGGAAUAAGCCACGGCUAACUACGUGCCAGCAGCCGCGGUAAUACGUAGGUGGCAAGCGUUAUCCGGGUUUAUUGGGUGUAAAGGGCGGGUAGGCGGGAAUGCAAGUCAGAUGUGAAAACUCAGGGCUCAACCCUGGGCCUGCAUUUGAAACUGUGUUUCUUGAGUGCUGGAGAGGCAAUCGGAAUGCCGUGUGUAGCGGUGAAAUGCGUAGAUAUACGGCGGAACACCAGUGGCGAAGGUGGAUUGCUGGACAGUAACUGACGCUGAGGCGCGAAAGCGUGGGGAGCAAACAGGAUUAGAUACCCGAGUAGUC